This 629-nucleotide ribosomal RNA is filed under the name Acinetobacter sp. BCCO 40_FK72. RNAcentral's name for it is "bacterial SSU rRNA". It matches the Rfam family "Bacterial small subunit ribosomal RNA", at positions 95 to 719 of the family's 1533-position model. Lineage: Bacteria; Pseudomonadati; Pseudomonadota; Gammaproteobacteria; Moraxellales; Moraxellaceae. The record is from RNAcentral.
GCGGCGGACGGGUGAGUAAUGCUUAGGAAUCUGCCUAUUAGUGGGGGACAACAUCUCGAAAGGGAUGCUAAUACCGCAUACGUCCUACGGGAGAAAGCAGGGGAUCUUCGGACCUUGCGCUAAUAGAUGAGCCUAAGUCGGAUUAGCUAGUUGGUGGGGUAAAGGCCUACCAAGGCGACGAUCUGUAGCGGGUCUGAGAGGAUGAUCCGCCACACUGGGACUGAGACACGGCCCAGACUCCUACGGGAGGCAGCAGUGGGGAAUAUUGGACAAUGGGGGGAACCCUGAUCCAGCCAUGCCGCGUGUGUGAAGAAGGCCUUUUGGUUGUAAAGCACUUUAAGCGAGGAGGAGGAGCUCUUGGUUAAUACCCAAGAUGCUUGGACGUUACUCGCAGAAUAAGCACCGGCUAACUCUGUGCCAGCAGCCGCGGUAAUACAGAGGGUGCAAGCGUUAAUCGGAUUUACUGGGCGUAAAGCGCGCGUAGGUGGCCAAUUAAGUCAAAUGUGAAAUCCCCGAGCUUAACUUGGGAAUUGCAUUCGAUACUGGUUGGCUAGAGUAUGGGAGAGGAUGGUAGAAUUCCAGGUGUAGCGGUGAAAUGCGUAGAGAUCUGGAGGAAUACCGAUGGCGAA